Molecule: ribosomal RNA, 360 nt
Filed under: uncultured bacterium
Lineage: Bacteria
Description: bacterial SSU rRNA
Rfam family: Bacterial small subunit ribosomal RNA
Source: RNAcentral
CUCUUGAGACAGGUGNUGCAUGGCUGUCGUCAGCUCGUUGUUGUNAAAUGUUGGGUUAAGGUCCCGGCAACGAGCGCAACCCUUAUCCUUUGUUGCCAGCGGUUCGGCCGGGAACUCAAAGAGACUGCCAGUGAUAAACUGGAGGAAGGUGGGGAUGACGUCAAGUCAUCAUGGCCCUUACGAGUAGGGCUACACACGUGCUACAAUGGCAUAUACAAAGAGAAGCGACCUCGCGAGAGCAAGCGGACCUCAUAAAGUAUGUCGUAGUCCGGAUUGGAGUCUGCAACUCGACUCCAUGAAGUCGGAAUCGCUAGUAAUCGUGGAUCAGAAUGCCACGGUGAAUACGUUCCCGGGCCUUGU